RNAcentral lists this ribosomal RNA (460 nucleotides) under uncultured bacterium. RNAcentral's name for it is "partial 16S ribosomal RNA". It matches the Rfam family "Bacterial small subunit ribosomal RNA", at positions 338 to 795 of the family's 1533-position model. The record is from RNAcentral.
CCUACGGGAGGCUGCAGUGAGGAAUAUUGGUCAAUGGACGAGAGUCUGAACCAGCCAAGUAGCGUGAAGGAUGACUGCCCUCUGGGUUGUAAACUUCUUUUAUAAAGGAAUAAAACGAGGCACGUGUGCCUUUUUGCAUGUACUUUAUGAAUAAGGAUCGGCUAACUCCGUGCCAGCAGCCGCGGUAAUACGGAGGAUCCGAGCGUUAUCCGGAUUGAGUGGGUUUAAAGGGAGCGUAGAUGGGUUGUUAAGUCAGUUGUGAAAGUUUGCGGCUCAACCGUAAAAUUGCAAUUGAUACUGGCAGUCGUGAGUACAGUUGAGGUAGGCGGAAUUCGUGGUGUAGCGGUGAAAUGCUUAGAUAUCACGAAGAACCCCGAUUGCGAAGGCAGCUUACUAAACUGUGACUGACAUUGAUGCUCGAAAGUGUGGGUAUCAAACAGGAUUAGAUACCCUUGUAGUC